This 1590-nucleotide long non-coding RNA is filed under the name Nasonia vitripennis (jewel wasp). Its description in RNAcentral is "uncharacterized LOC116738635". The record is from RNAcentral. Lineage: Eukaryota; Metazoa; Arthropoda; Insecta; Hymenoptera; Pteromalidae.
UAAAAAAUGGAGUUGCUCGAAUUAAAAGAUGUAAGAGCAGUACCUAACAUCAUUCAUGUCUACUUUGAGAAAUUCAGAUGGGGAUAUUCAAGUUGGAAAUGAUAUUGCGAAUAUUGAAGCGAUGAGGUUCUAGCUAAAAAUACAAUUUUAUAGAAAUGUGGUCACUCACUUUCAAGCCCAAGAACAAAUAUUUGAUUAUACAUUUACCCCCAUGGGAAUCGACACUGAGUGAUGCAUUAAUCACCCUGUUAUUUUAACUGAAACUUUUUUGAAUUGAAUCUAUUCUAGAAACUUGAUGGCAGAAUUAUUGUUUGAGUGUUACAACAUACCUUCUAUCACUUAUGGAGUGGAUUGCUUGUUUUCAUAUCAAUAACAUAAUACAAAAUACACAGGGUUAAAGGUGCCAUUCUCACUAACCUGCACCCACAAUCUAUCUCUCUAAUAUCUAUGCAUAUAUAUUUCAAUAUCGUUCUUUAUUCUUGCUGAUGCUAUCACAAAGUAAUCGUUCUUUUCUAGUUGUAAUGGAUGCUGAUGACAACAAUGAGAGCGGAUUUUCAGAGGAGGAAGGUAGUUCAAAAAAGCAUGUGGACGGUGGAAUACUUCAAAGCAACGGUCCUGAACAUAAUGGAAAGAGCCACUAACUGUACGCUGCAGUUCGUUUGUAUGUUGGAAAAGGAGAAGUCGAUGUUAUAUCUACGAGUAAUAUAAAAGAUUUUGAUUCAACAAAAUCGAUUUUCCCGUACGAUGCAUAUGUGGCUAAUGGGACUGAUGAAGAUGACCAAAUUGUGUACAAACCUGCAGCAAUUUUAGAUAUUACCGAUGAUCAGAAUAAACUGAUAAAUCGAUCCAAAAGAUGGCCCAAACCAAAGAAACGUAGGAGUACUGUUGUUCAUCAAUUGGCUGAAGAAGCACUACAGAAAGAAAAGUCAAACUUAAAUAGGAAUAGAAAAAAUCCAUCUAAAAAGAAUGGUCAUUAUGAAAAAUCAAGAGAAGAACCAGAUGUGACGGAUAAACUGAAUAUUUUGGAGAAAAAAAAAUUAAUUUUUAGGACCAAAGAGAAAUUGCCCGAAUCGACACUGUCCAGCAGCAUUGAAGAUGUGGAGAACAAAGAUGAGAUAAUAGCAAGAUUGACGAGAGAGUUAGAAAAGAUUCGUGGAAAGAAAAAUUUGUCUGAGACUCUUGCUGGCAAUGAUCCCUCAGAUUCUGAUCAAAAUAUACUGUCACACGUAUCUUCCACUGGCGCAGUUUCAGAUUCACCAGAAUCCCCUUCAUUGAUAUUAAAAAAGUCCUCCAAGAUAGAUCAGGAUAAGUUUUCUCGUAGUAGACGCGCAAAACGUCAAAAAACAGAUUCAUCAGCGUCUCCUGCCAUUACCCCACGAAAGCAUCAUAGAGUACAUUCGCCAGUAUCUCCUGCUGUUAUCCCAGGAAAUCGUCAAAAAAUACAUUUGCCAGAGUCUCCUGAUGUUUCCCCAGGAAAUCAAGACAGGCCGCAUUCAUCUCCAGUGUUUUGUUCUAACAGAAAAUCUGUUUCUAAACCACUUAAGCGUAACAAACGCCCACCACUAAAACCAGUUCGAUUAAUAUCAAAAG